This 1257-nucleotide ribosomal RNA is filed under the name Arthrobacter ginsengisoli. RNAcentral describes it as "bacterial SSU rRNA". It matches the Rfam family "Bacterial small subunit ribosomal RNA", at positions 67 to 1336 of the family's 1533-position model. The record is from RNAcentral. Lineage: Bacteria; Bacillati; Actinomycetota; Actinomycetes; Micrococcales; Micrococcaceae.
CGAUGAUGCCAGCUUGCUGGUGGAUUAGUGGCGAACGGGUGAGUAACACGUGAGUAACCUGCCCUUAACUCUGGGAUAAGCCUGGGAAACUGGGUCUAAUACCGGAUAUGACUCCUCAUCGCAUGGUGGGGGGUGGAAAGCUUUAUUGUGGUUUUGGAUGGACUCGCGGCCUAUCAGCUUGUUGGUGAGGUAAUGGCUCACCAAGGCGACGACGGGUAGCCGGCCUGAGAGGGUGACCGGCCACACUGGGACUGAGACACGGCCCAGACUCCUACGGGAGGCAGCAGUGGGGAAUAUUGCACAAUGGGCGAAAGCCUGAUGCAGCGACGCCGCGUGAGGGAUGACGGCCUUCGGGUUGUAAACCUCUUUCAGUAGGGAAGAAGCGAAAGUGACGGUACCUGCAGAAGAAGCGCCGGCUAACUACGUGCCAGCAGCCGCGGUAAUACGUAGGGCGCAAGCGUUAUCCGGAAUUAUUGGGCGUAAAGAGCUCGUAGGCGGUUUGUCGCGUCUGCCGUGAAAGUCCGGGGCUCAACUCCGGAUCUGCGGUGGGUACGGGCAGACUAGAGUGAUGUAGGGGAGACUGGAAUUCCUGGUGUAGCGGUGAAAUGCGCAGAUAUCAGGAGGAACACCGAUGGCGAAGGCAGGUCUCUGGGCAUUAACUGACGCUGAGGAGCGAAAGCAUGGGGAGCGAACAGGAUUAGAUACCCUGGUAGUCCAUGCCGUAAACGUUGGGCACUAGGUGUGGGGGACAUUCCACGUUUUCCGCGCCGUAGCUAACGCAUUAAGUGCCCCGCCUGGGGAGUACGGCCGCAAGGCUAAAACUCAAAGGAAUUGACGGGGGCCCGCACAAGCGGCGGAGCAUGCGGAUUAAUUCGAUGCAACGCGAAGAACCUUACCAAGGCUUGACAUGAACCGGAAAUACCUGGAAACAGGUGCCCCGCUUGCGGUCGGUUUACAGGUGGUGCAUGGUUGUCGUCAGCUCGUGUCGUGAGAUGUUGGGUUAAGUCCCGCAACGAGCGCAACCCUCGUUCUAUGUUGCCAGCGCGUUAUGGCGGGGACUCAUAGGAGACUGCCGGGGUCAACUCGGAGGAAGGUGGGGACGACGUCAAAUCAUCAUGCCCCUUAUGUCUUGGGCUUCACGCAUGCUACAAUGGCCGGUACAAAGGGUUGCGAUACUGUGAGGUGGAGCUAAUCCCAAAAAGCCGGUCUCAGUUCGGAUUGGGGUCUGCAACUCGACCCCAUGAAGUCGGAGUCGCU